UGUGCGAAAAAUAUCGCCGUGCAAGUAA
RNAcentral lists this small RNA (28 nucleotides) under Bombyx mori (domestic silkworm). Its description in RNAcentral is "ovarian small RNA-35902". The record is from RNAcentral. Lineage: Eukaryota; Metazoa; Arthropoda; Insecta; Lepidoptera; Bombycidae.